This 253-nucleotide ribosomal RNA is filed under the name uncultured bacterium. RNAcentral describes it as "partial 16S ribosomal RNA". It matches the Rfam family "Bacterial small subunit ribosomal RNA", at positions 524 to 776 of the family's 1533-position model. The record is from RNAcentral.
UACGAAGGUCCCAAGCGUUGUUCGGAAUCACUGGGCGUAAAGGGAGCGUAGGCGGCGUGGUAAGUCAGAUGUGAAAUCCCGGGGCUCAACCUCGGAACUGCAUCCGAUACUGCCAUGCUAGAGGGUUGGAGAGGUAGCUGGAAUUCUUGGUGUAGCAGUGAAAUGCGUAGAGAUCAAGAGGAACACUCGUGGCGAAAGCGAGCUACUGGACAAUAACUGACGCUGAGGCUCGAAGGCUAGGGUAGCGAAAGGG